Molecule: ribosomal RNA, 545 nt
Filed under: Loxoblemmus equestris
Lineage: Eukaryota; Metazoa; Arthropoda; Insecta; Orthoptera; Gryllidae
Description: partial 16S ribosomal RNA
Rfam family: Bacterial large subunit ribosomal RNA
Source: RNAcentral
CCCUGUUUAUCAAAAACAUGUCUUCUUGUUAUUGAUUUGAAGUCGUGCCUGCCCAGUGAGGAGUUUAACGGCCGCGGUAUUUUGACCGUGCAAAGGUAGCAUAAUCAUUAGUCUUUUAAUUGGGGGCUGGAAUGAAUGGUUUGACGAAACAAUAACUGUCUCAAUAUUAUUGAUUGAAUUUUAUUUUUAAGUUAAAAAGCUUAAAUGGGAAUGGGGGACGAGAAGACCCUAUAGAUCUUUAUAAUAUAAUUAUAGUUAAAUUGUUGGUUGUUAUUUAUUUAAUUUUGAGUGUAUUAUUUCGUUGGGGUGAUGAGAGAAUAAAUAAGCUUCUAUUUUUUUAAACUAUGAUGAUUGGUUUUAUGAUCCUAUGUUAUGGAAUUGAGAGUAAGAUACCUUAGGGAUAACAGCGUAAUUUUAUUGGAGAGUUCAUAUCGAUAAUAAAGAUUGCGACCUCGAUGUUGGAUUAAGAUUAUAAUUAGGUGCAGUAGCUUAAUUAAUUGGUCUGUUCGACCAUUAAAUUCUUACAUGAUCUGAGUUCAGACCGG